UACAGAGGGUGCAAGCGUUAUCCGGAAUGAUUGGGCGUAAAGCGCACGUAGGCGGCUCGUUAAGUCGGGGGUGAAAUCCUGGAGCUCAACUCCAGAACUGCCUUCGAUACUGGCGAUCUUGAGUCCGGAAGAGGUGAGUGGAACUCCUAGUGUAGAGGUGGAAUUCGUAGAUAUUAGGAAGAACACCAAUGGCGAAGGCAGCUUGCUGGGCCAAUCCUGACACUGAGGUACGAAAGCGUGGGGAGCGAACAGG
RNAcentral lists this ribosomal RNA (253 nucleotides) under uncultured bacterium. RNAcentral describes it as "partial 16S ribosomal RNA". It matches the Rfam family "Bacterial small subunit ribosomal RNA", at positions 524 to 776 of the family's 1533-position model. The record is from RNAcentral.